RNAcentral lists this ribosomal RNA (253 nucleotides) under uncultured bacterium. RNAcentral describes it as "partial 16S ribosomal RNA". It matches the Rfam family "Bacterial small subunit ribosomal RNA", at positions 524 to 776 of the family's 1533-position model. The record is from RNAcentral.
UACGUAGGUGGCGAGCGUUGUCCGGAUUUACUGGGCGUAAAGGGCGUGCAGGCGGUUUGUUAAGUGCAGAGUGAAAGCUCCCGGCUCAACUGGGAGAGGUCUUUGCAUACUGGCAAACUCGAGGGAGGCAGAGGAAAGUGGAAUUCCCGGUGUAGUGGUGAUAUGCGUAGAUAUCGGGAGGAACACCUGUGGCGAAGGCGGCUUUCUGGGCCUUACCUGACGCUGAGACGCGAAAGCGUGGGGAGCGAACAGG